UAGGUCUCUUGCUGAGAGUAAGCGUAAGUGCAUUAGUCAACCAUCUCACCUUUAAAUCUGACAGCGUAUCAGAACAAGCCUUUUUCAUUUUCUCAGAAAUAUCGCAGUAUUCGAGGGGGUGGGUAGAUUGGGCAGCAGGGGGUGGAAAAGCACUUACUCGCAGGCAUAGUGCUGCGGGCAGGAUGAGAGGUUGGUGAGGAUUAUUGCGCUAGGCCUUAAUGCAUGGGCCUGACCUCUCCUCCUGCGUCUGUUUAAUGUUGGUGUUUACUCUUGGUUCUACGGACACAAUCCUUGUUAGAAUCAAGCUGCCUUACUCGUUGAGUGUUCUAUCCCGUGCACCGACGAAGUACUCAAACAUUACGGUCAUGUAGUCUUAUCCAUCACACCAGGCUUUUUCGUAGUUCCACACAGGGGUUUAGGUCUCACCCCGCUCGCUUAUUUACAUAUUGCUAACCAUAACCUUCCAUUGCAGUGCAUGAGUGGGAACUGCAGGCCAUACACCGACCGCAAUGCUAAAGCAGAUCGGUUUCCAGAGCCAGUUGUCUUUUUUCAGAAAAAUCUGCAGAAUUGUUUAAACCAUUUGCUAAUAGCCCAAACAUCUAAUUACAGGUGCAAAAGCUUUCUGUACCGCUAUUUCUCGUAUUCUUUACUGACGAUCGUUACAGUUGUUUUCCGAAGGACUACACGUAAGUAAACAGAGCGAGCGAGCUCCUGGAUGUAUGUGCCGCGACGAGAGCUCUUCAAAGACAGAGAGGACGUCUCCUUUGUACCCAGCAUGGGGGUGAGGCAGAGCGGCGCCCUGGGGAAGUAGACCAGGGGAUACGCGUCAUUUUGCCGCUGUGGUUUCUUUUUGAAAAGCAGCAAUGGGUAGAUGGGAGAAGUGAAGAAGGAGAAAGCAGAAGUGGUGGUAAAAGUGCCCCGCCCCCUAUCUCCAGAUGGGCCAGCUGGACCCAUUCCCCCCUCCCCUUCCCUUCCCCACCCCUCUGCAACAGGGCCAGGGUCCAGCAUACAGUGCUUCUUCUGACGGGGUCAACCCUUAACCCUAUCGCCACGGUUGGACAGUCCUGGAAACACCACUCUGGCCAAACAGCACCGACCUCACAGAUGAGACCAACCUCACUGCACCCAGACUGAAAUGUUCUGAAAGUACACCAUCUCUAACGAUUAUUGAAAGUAAUGUGCGUAGUGUGGGGCUCUUCAAGUACAAUUAAAUAAUGAAAUAUAUGGCAAGCUUUAUCUGUUUCCGUACCAUGUCUGCCGUAAUGAUUCCGUCUGUGCCGUAAGCCAAAAUUUUAGCGUACAUUUUCCCUUACAUACGGCUCACUUAAUAAAACAUAAAAUGAAGGUUAAUUAAUUCUAAAUACAUUUAUCCAUCUCUCAAUUCCUCAAACAGUUACCACCACGAGGUCAGUGACACUAAAUAGAUGCUCUGGGGGCACAUUUAUUAUUAUUAUUAUUAUUAUUAUUAUUAUUAUUAUUAUUAUUAGUGUUUGUUUAUUUAUUUUUAUUAUUAUUUUUGGUCUGAGGUAAAACAAAAGAAAGGUUGGUUUUUCGUCUUGCUUGCCACCUCAGUAGAGAGCUAGGGCUUGUUUCUCUGACACAGGAGUGCUGCUCAAUACAAUUCAUUAGACAAGUGCUGACAGGUUUGGCCUCCCUUUGGAAGCUCAUGGGUGACCCCGAGAAUCCUGCCACUGUGGUUUAGCUGUCUUUUCUAUCUGUUAGAUCUGUCUAUCUGUCUUUUAGUGAGAACAAAGUGGACAU
Long non-coding RNA from Anguilla rostrata (American eel), 1761 nucleotides. RefSeq lists it as uncharacterized. The transcript has 3 exons. NCBI's taxonomy places the organism in Eukaryota, Metazoa, Chordata, Actinopteri, Anguilliformes, Anguillidae. The record is from RefSeq and is a predicted model, not a curated record.